Molecule: long non-coding RNA, 375 nt
Filed under: Zea mays
Lineage: Eukaryota; Viridiplantae; Streptophyta; Magnoliopsida; Poales; Poaceae
Description: long non-coding RNA (ZMAY_LNC002084)
Source: RNAcentral
GGCGGACGGGGCUCCAUGCCGGAUACAUGACGUAUCCGGGAUCCGGCUCCCCUGCCCGCUUGACCGCGUCGUGCAUCUUGUGGUCCACCUGCAACGCCGCCGGCCCGACAGCAUCCUCCUUCUUGUGGAACGGGUGGUCGGGCAACGCUGCUGGCCAGACAGCGUCGUGCUUCUCGUGGAAUGGGUGGUCGGGCAACGCCGCCGGCCAGACAGCGCCCUGCUUCGUCUUGUGGAAUGAGUGGUCUGGCAAUGCCGCCGUAGGCCCACCAGUGUCCUGCUUCUUGUGGAAUGGAUGGUCAGGCAACGCCGCCGGCCAGACAGCGCCCUGCUUCGUCUUGUGGAAUGAGUGGUCCGGCAAUGCCGCCGCAGGCCCGC